UCAGGGCUUUAAGAGACUGGGCCACAGGAAAGAGCAGUUUUGAUUGAAACAAUAGGGAAGACAGAGCUCAAGAAGAGUUUGAUUCAUAGGAUGCUGUGUGGGGAAAUCCUAGACCAUUUUAGCGGAGAAAGAACCUUUCCAGGUUAACCCCUUAAAAGCAAAUCAUGUGACAUUAUAGUUGGAUAGUCAUCCUUCUACAUUUAUGUCUACCUCUGGAAACAUUAAUAAAUAUAGGUUUUUGUUUUAUUUUUACGAGAAAAACCACA
Long non-coding RNA from Suricata suricatta (meerkat), 266 nucleotides. RefSeq lists it as uncharacterized. The record is from RefSeq and is a predicted model, not a curated record. The transcript has 2 exons. NCBI's taxonomy places the organism in Eukaryota, Metazoa, Chordata, Mammalia, Carnivora, Herpestidae.